This 497-nucleotide ribosomal RNA is filed under the name uncultured bacterium. RNAcentral describes it as "partial 16S ribosomal RNA". It matches the Rfam family "Bacterial small subunit ribosomal RNA", at positions 28 to 507 of the family's 1533-position model. The record is from RNAcentral.
GAUGAACGCUGGCGGCGUGCCUAAUACAUGCAAGUCGAGCAAACAGACGAGGAGCUUGCUCCUCUGACGUUAGCGGCGGACGGGUGAGUAACACGUGGAUAACCUACCUAUAAGACUGGGAUAACUUCGGGAAACCGGAGCUAAUACCGGAUAAUAUAUUGAACCGCAUGGUUCAAUAGUGAAAGACGGUUUUGCUGUCACUUAUAGAUGGAUCCGCGCCGCAUUAGCUAGUUGGUAAGGUAACGGCUUACCAAGGCAACGAUGCGUAGCCGACCUGAGAGGGUGAUCGGCCACACUGGAACUGAGACACGGUCCAGACUCCUACGGGAGGCAGCAGUAGGGAAGCUUCCGCAAUGGGCGAAAGCCUGACGGAGCAACGCCGCGUGAGUGAUGAAGGUCUUCGGAUCGUAAAACUCUGUUAUUAGGGAAGAACAAAUGUGUAAGUAACUAUGCACGUCUUGACGGUACCUAAUCAGAAAGCCACGGCUAACUACGUG